This is a long non-coding RNA of Triticum aestivum (bread wheat), 364 nucleotides long. RefSeq lists it as uncharacterized. The transcript has 3 exons. NCBI's taxonomy places the organism in Eukaryota, Viridiplantae, Streptophyta, Magnoliopsida, Poales, Poaceae. The record is from RefSeq and is a predicted model, not a curated record.
CCCAGAUGGUGCUUCUACAGUGUAUCCGUCGACGGCGGCUGCUCGAGGUAGCCGGGCACGUCGUCGUCAUCCCCCACAGCAUCAACAAUCUCCAAAGUUGAAAGUGUGCCCUGCAGACCCCGAGACCGAUGCUGCCUCUGUGAUGGACUACGUCACCGACGAAUCUUCUUCCUUUACAGCAGAGCUUCCAGGCAAGCCCCCCUUUGAUCAUCCCGAUAUCGCCCAUUCCUUUCUCUCAUGCUUGCAUUAGAUUUUGCUACUGUUAUUGUAUGCCCCUAUUCUGAUGCAUAGCCUGCUUUUGUAUCUGUUAUUGUACCUUACCUGCUUAUCCUAAACUGCUCAGUAUAGGUUGGUUAGUGAUCCA